AGAGUUUGAUCCUGGCUCAGAUUGAACGCUGGCGGCAUGCCUUACACAUGCAAGUCGAACGGCAGCGCGGGAGCAAUCCUGGCGGCGAGUGGCGAACGGGUGAGUAAUACAUCGGAACGUGCCCAAUCGUGGGGGAUAACGCAGCGAAAGCUGUGCUAAUACCGCAUACGAUCUACGGAUGAAAGCAGGGGAUCGCAAGACCUUGCGCGAAUGGAGCGGCCGAUGGCAGAUUAGGUAGUUGGUGAGGUAAAGGCUCACCAAGCCUUCGAUCUGUAGCUGGUCUGAGAGGACGACCAGCCACACUGGGACUGAGACACGGCCCAGACUCCUACGGGAGGCAGCAGUGGGGAAUUUUGGACAAUGGGCGAAAGCCUGAUCCAGCCAUGCCGCGUGCAGGAUGAAGGCCUUCGGGUUGUAAACUGCUUUUGUACGGAACGAAACGGCCUUUUCUAAUAAAGAGGGCU
This 464-nucleotide ribosomal RNA is filed under the name Variovorax sp. RD74. RNAcentral's name for it is "bacterial SSU rRNA". It matches the Rfam family "Bacterial small subunit ribosomal RNA", at positions 8 to 468 of the family's 1533-position model. Lineage: Bacteria; Pseudomonadati; Pseudomonadota; Betaproteobacteria; Burkholderiales; Comamonadaceae. The record is from RNAcentral.